Molecule: ribosomal RNA, 785 nt
Filed under: uncultured bacterium
Lineage: Bacteria
Description: bacterial SSU rRNA
Rfam family: Bacterial small subunit ribosomal RNA
Source: RNAcentral
GGNUCAACCAUAGUGUGCUCUGGAAACUNUCUGACUUGAGUGCAGAAGGGGAGAGUGGAAUUCCAUGUGUAGCGGUGAAAUGCGUAGAUAUAUGGAGGAACACCAGUGGCGAAAGCGGCUCUNUGGUCUGUCACUGACGCUGAGGCUCGAAAGCGUGGGUAGCGAACAGGAUUAGAUACCCUGGUAGUCCACGCCGUAAACGAUGAGUGCUAGGUGUUAGGCCCUUUCCGGGGCUUAGAGCCGGAGCUAACGCGAUAAGCACUCCGCCUGGGGAGUACGACCGCAAGGUUGAAACUCAAAGGAAUUGACGGGGGCCCGCACAAGCGGUGGAGCAUGUGGUUUAAUUCGAAGCAACGCGAAGAACCUUACCAGGUCUUGACAUCCCGAUGCUAUUCUUAGAGAUAGGAAGUUACUUCGGUACAUCGGAGACAGGUGGUGCAUGGUUGUCGUCAGCUCGUGUCGUGAGAUGUUGGGUUAAGUCCCGCAACGAGCGCAACCCUUAUUGUUAGUUGCCAUCAUUAAGUUGGGCACUCUAGCGAGACUGCCGGUAAUAAACCGGAGGAAGGUGGGGAUGACGUCAAAUCAUCAUGCCCCUUAUGACCUGGGCUACACACGUGCUACAAUGGUCGGUACAACGAGUUGCGAGCCGGUGACGGCAAGCUAAUCUCUGAAAGCCGAUCUCAGUUCGGAUUGGAGGCUGCAACUCGCCUCCAUGAAGUCGGAAUCGCUAGUAAUCGCGGAUCAGCACGCCGCGGUGAAUACGUUCCCGGGCCUUGUACACACCG